AUUGAACGCUGGCGGCAGGCCUAACACAUGCAAGUCGAACGGUAACAGGAAGAAGCUUGCUUCUUUGCUGACGAGUGGCGGACGGGUGAGUCAUGUCUGGGAAACUGCCUGAUGGAGGGGGAUAACUACUGGAAACGGUAGCUAAUACCGCAUAACGUCGCAAGCCCAAAGAGGGGGACCUUCGGGCCUCUUGCCAUCGGAUGUGCCCAGAUGGGAUUAGCUAGUAGGUGGGGUAACGGCUCACCUAGGCGACGAUCCCUAGCUGGUCUGAGAGGAUGACCAGCCACACUGGAACUGAGACACGGUCCAGACUCCUACGGGAGGCAGCAGUGGGGAAUAUUGCACAAUGGGCGCAAGCCUGAUGCAGCCAUGCCGCGUGUAUGAAGAAGGCCCUCGGGUUGUAAAGUACUUUCAGCGGGGAGGAAGGGAGUAAAGUUAAUACCUUUGCUCAUUGACGUUACCCGCAGAAGAAGCACCGGCUAACUCCGUG
This 490-nucleotide ribosomal RNA is filed under the name uncultured bacterium. RNAcentral's name for it is "partial 16S ribosomal RNA". It matches the Rfam family "Bacterial small subunit ribosomal RNA", at positions 30 to 507 of the family's 1533-position model. The record is from RNAcentral.